GGAAGGAUCAUUCGCACGCAUCCAAUUAAUACCAUUGUGAAUUUUUGGCGUGAGGUUUUGUUUGGGGAUGGAGAUUGCAUCAAUGCCCCCAUGCAAAAGCUCAAAGGCGGCAGGGUUGGAUGGGUGCUUGUCACCUCCUUUCAGCUCUUGUCGUCACCUUCCUUUUGCUUGUAAUCUUUGCUACUUCUUUACCAGUUGAAGUGGUUGUCCACUUUCUUCUUACAACUUUCAGCGAUCGAUGUCUCGGCUCGAACAACGAUGAAGGGCGCAGCGAAGUGUGAUAAGCAUUGUGAAUUGCAGGAUUCCGUGAACCAAUAGGGACUUGAACGUACACUGCGCUUUCGGGAUAUCCCUGAAAGCAUGCCUGCUUCAGUGUCCACUUUAUUUCUUCCAGCAGCAUCUUCCACAUUUGUGGUACUGUUGCUUGGGUGUGCUUGUGUGUCAAAGUGCUUUGCUGCCUUUGACGCGUUCAAUGCAUGGGGAUUUCCUCUUGGCGCGCAACUUGCUAAACGUCGCUGACGCAACUUGUUGUUGUGCUUUGGGGCAACCUCCUUGAUUCAUAUGUUUCAUACAUGUGAAGACAUGAAGUUAGGUCAGCAAA
RNAcentral lists this ribosomal RNA (601 nucleotides) under Scrippsiella trochoidea. Its description in RNAcentral is "eukaryotic LSU rRNA". The stretch from base 224 to 378 matches the Rfam family "5.8S ribosomal RNA". Lineage: Eukaryota; Dinophyceae; Peridiniales; Peridiniaceae. The record is from RNAcentral.